UAGCUAGCUCCAUCGUGCACAGGUUUGAGUGUUUGAGUUUUUCCUAGUGGCAUUCAACCUUUGAACGGUAGAGAUGGCCA
Molecule: microRNA precursor, 80 nt
Filed under: Drosophila virilis
Lineage: Eukaryota; Metazoa; Arthropoda; Insecta; Diptera; Drosophilidae
Description: mir-955 microRNA precursor family
Rfam family: mir-955 microRNA precursor family
Source: Rfam by way of RNAcentral